Megalobrama amblycephala (Wuchang bream) is the source of this 257-nucleotide long non-coding RNA. RefSeq lists it as uncharacterized. Lineage: Eukaryota; Metazoa; Chordata; Actinopteri; Cypriniformes; Xenocyprididae. The record is from RefSeq and is a predicted model, not a curated record. The transcript has 2 exons.
AGGGAUUCAUCAUUCUGCAGUGAUGUGUGUGUUCAUUGGCCCUGUCCCCGCUCUCCUCACAGAAACGCUGAAGCCAUCGUGACGGAUGCAGGACAUGAUGAAUGUUUCAUCUGUAUCGCAACUGUCAAGAGGAGAAAAAAACAACCUGAAUCUUCUGUCGAGAGAGAAAGUCAUACAGGAGUGGAAUGACAAGUUUACAGCUUUAAUGGCAUGACAAGCAUCAAAUAUGGGAUUAUGCGGUUAAAAGUAGGAAAUGA